Molecule: ribosomal RNA, 1553 nt
Filed under: Escherichia coli
Lineage: Bacteria; Pseudomonadati; Pseudomonadota; Gammaproteobacteria; Enterobacterales; Enterobacteriaceae
Description: bacterial SSU rRNA
Rfam family: Bacterial small subunit ribosomal RNA
Source: RNAcentral
AAAUUGAAGAGUUUGAUCAUGGCUCAGAUUGAACGCUGGCGGCAGGCCUAACACAUGCAAGUCGAACGGUAACAGGAAACAGCUUGCUGUUUCGCUGACGAGUGGCGGACGGGUGAGUAAUGUCUGGGAAACUGCCUGAUGGAGGGGGAUAACUACUGGAAACGGUAGCUAAUACCGCAUAACGUCGCAAGACCAAAGAGGGGGACCUUCGGGCCUCUUGCCAUCGGAUGUGCCCAGAUGGGAUUAGCUAGUAGGUGGGGUAACGGCUCACCUAGGCGACGAUCCCUAGCUGGUCUGAGAGGAUGACCAGCCACACUGGAACUGAGACACGGUCCAGACUCCUACGGGAGGCAGCAGUGGGGAAUAUUGCACAAUGGGCGCAAGCCUGAUGCAGCCAUGCCGCGUGUAUGAAGAAGGCCUUCGGGUUGUAAAGUACUUUCAGCGGGGAGGAAGGGAGUAAAGUUAAUACCUUUGCUCAUUGACGUUACCCGCAGAAGAAGCACCGGCUAACUCCGUGCCAGCAGCCGCGGUAAUACGGAGGGUGCAAGCGUUAAUCGGAAUUACUGGGCGUAAAGCGCACGCAGGCGGUUUGUUAAGUCAGAUGUGAAAUCCCCGGGCUCAACCUGGGAACUGCAUCUGAUACUGGCAAGCUUGAGUCUCGUAGAGGGGGGUAGAAUUCAAGGUGUAGCGGUGAAAUGCGUAGAGAUCUGGAGGAAUACCGGUGGCGAAGGCGGCCCCCUGGACGAAGACUGACGCUCAGGUGCGAAAGCGUGGGGAGCAAACAGGAUUAGAUACCCUGGUAGUCCACGCCGUAAACGAUGUCGACUUGGAGGUUGUGCCCUUGAGGCGUGGCUUCCGGAGCUAACGCGUUAAGUCGACCGCCUGGGGAGUACGGCCGCAAGGUUAAAACUCAAAUGAAUUGACGGGGGCCCGCACAAGCGGUGGAGCAUGUGGUUUAAUUCGAUGCAACGCGAAGAACCUUACCUGGUCUUGACAUCCACAGAACUUUCCAGAGAUGGAUUGGUGCCUUCGGGAACUGUGAGACAGGUGCUGCAUGGCUGUCGUCAGCUCGUGUUGUGAAAUGUUGGGUUAAGUCCCGCAACGAGCGCAACCCUUAUCCUUUGUUGCCAGCGGUCCGGCCGGGAACUCAAAGGAGACUGCCAGUGAUAAACUGGAGGAAGGUGGGGAUGACGUCAAGUCAUCAUGGCCCUUACGACCAGGGGCUACACGUGCUACAAUGGCGCAUACAAAGAGAAGCGACCUCGCGAGAGCAAGCGGACCUCAUAAAGUGCGUCGUAGUCCGGAUUGGAGUCUGCAACUCGACUCCAUGAAGUCGGAAUCGCUAGUAAUCGUGGAUCAGAAUGCCACGGUGAAUACGUUCCCGGGCCUUGUACACACCGCCCGUCACACCAUGGGAGUGGGUUGCAAAAGAAGUAGGUAGCUUAACCUUCGGGAGGGCGCUUACCACUUUGUGAUUCAUGACUGGGGUGAAGUCGUAACAAGGUAACCGUAGGGGAACCUGCGGUUGGAUCACCUCCUUACCUUAAAGAAGC